Oryctolagus cuniculus (rabbit) is the source of this 399-nucleotide non-coding RNA. NCBI's taxonomy places the organism in Eukaryota, Metazoa, Chordata, Mammalia, Lagomorpha, Leporidae. The record is from RefSeq and is a predicted model, not a curated record.
UUGUAAAGUCUUGUUGUGGGUGAUGGUCUCGGUCAGGCAUGCUGCCAGCUGGGGAGGUGGGAAAGGAACACCCAUGGAGCUAGAGGCCAUUGUUCUCCGGGUUACCUGUCAAACAUGCGUGUGUCUCCUCUGGUGGUGGGAUACUAAAGGCGGAGAAACCAAGGUACAGAGAACUUACACAACCUGUUCAAGGAGCUCUCUGCUAUGGCCUGGAAAAGCAGUAAAAGAUGGCCCAAGUCCUUGGGCCCCUGUACCCUCAUGGGAGACCCAGAAGAAGCUCCCGGCUCCUGGUGUCGGAUCGGCUCAGUUCUGGCCAUUGCGGCCAUCUGGGGAGUGAACCAAUGGUUGGAAGAUCUUUCUCUCUUUCUCUCUCACUGUUUGUAACUCUACUUGUAAAAU